GUGCCAGCCGCCGCGGUAAUACGUAGGUGGCAAGCGUUAUCCGGAAUUAUUGGGCGUAAAGCGCGCGCAGGCGGUUUCUUAAGUCUGAUGUGAAAGCCCACGGCUCAACCGUGGAGGGUCAUUGGAAACUGGGGAACUUGAGUGCAGAAGAGAAAAGCGGAAUUCCACGUGUAGCGGUGAAAUGCGUAGAGAUGUGGAGGAACACCAGUGGCGAAGGCGGCUUUUUGGUCUGUAACUGACGCUGAGGCGCGAAAGCGUGGGGAGCAAACAGGAUUAGAUACCCUGGUAGUCCACGCCGUAAACGAUGAGUGCUAAGUGUUAGAGGGUUUCCGCCCUUUAGUGCUGCAGCUAACGCAUUAAGCACUCCGCCUUG
RNAcentral lists this ribosomal RNA (373 nucleotides) under Priestia megaterium. Its description in RNAcentral is "bacterial SSU rRNA". It matches the Rfam family "Bacterial small subunit ribosomal RNA", at positions 505 to 876 of the family's 1533-position model. Lineage: Bacteria; Bacillati; Bacillota; Bacilli; Caryophanales; Bacillaceae. The record is from RNAcentral.